RNAcentral lists this ribosomal RNA (432 nucleotides) under uncultured bacterium. Its description in RNAcentral is "partial 16S ribosomal RNA". It matches the Rfam family "Bacterial small subunit ribosomal RNA", at positions 29 to 507 of the family's 1533-position model. The record is from RNAcentral.
AACGAACGCUGGCGGCAUGCCUAACACAUGCAAGUCGAACGAGACCUUCGGGUCUAGUGGCGCACGGGUGCGUAACGCGUGGGAACCUGCCCUUAGGUUCGGAAUAACUCCCCGAAAGGGGUGCUAAUACCGGCUAAUGUCUUCGGACCAAGGAUUUAUCGCCUUUGGAGGGGCCCGCGUUGGAUAGCUAGUUGGUAGGGUAAAAGCCUACCAAGGCGACGAUACAUAGCUGGUCUGAGAGGAUGAUCAGCCACACUGGGACUGAGAGACGGCCCAGACUCCUACGGGAGGCAGCAGUGGGGAAUAUUGGACAGUGGGCGAAAGCAUGAUCCAGCAAUGCCGCGUGAGUGAUGAAGGCCUUAGGGUUGUAAAGCUCUUUUACCCGGGAUGAUAAUGACAGUACCGGGAGAAUAAGCUCCGGCUAACUCCGUG